GAUGAAGAACGUAGCGAAAUGCGAUACUUGGUGUGAAUUGCAGAAUCCCGUGAACCAUCGAGUCUUUGAACGCAAGUUGCGCCCGAAGCCAUCAGGUUGAGGGCACGUCUGCCUGGGCGUCACAUAUCGUUGCCCAAUGCCUAUUGCAGUGCAAUAGGAAUUACUAGGGCGAAUGAUGGCUUCCCGUGAGCGUUGUUGCCUCGCGGUUGGUUGAAAAUCGAGUCCUUGGUAGGGUGUGCCAUGAUAGAUGGUGGUCGAGUUAGAACGAUACCGAUCAUGUGCAUGCUCCCCAAAAUAUGGCCUCUAUGACCCACACGCGUCUUUUGACGCUCAUGACGAGACCUCAGGUCAGGCGGGGCUACCCGCUGAAUUUAAGCAUAUCAAUAAGCGGAGGA
RNAcentral lists this unclassified non-coding RNA (395 nucleotides) under soil metagenome. Its description in RNAcentral is "partial contains 5.8S ribosomal RNA, internal transcribed spacer 2, and large subunit ribosomal RNA". The stretch from base 1 to 122 matches the Rfam family "5.8S ribosomal RNA", at positions 35 to 154 of the family's 154-position model. The record is from RNAcentral.